AAACCCUGAAUGGUGGCCUGAUAAGAUGCUGUGAUAAUAAUAUCAGCACCAGCUUCAAGAUAGUCAAGGUGCACCAAACGGAUAAGGUGAGGAGAAGUUAAGAGACACUUGGCACUCCAAAGGGGAUCGUUAAGGUCAGCUCCGUGCCGUUCGAGCUCCGUGGCGAGACCACCGUCAAUAAUGGCGACGCCGCCGGACUUGCGGAGGAAAUCCUUCAACAACGAAGACGACUGGGCGCCAGAAUAUCCCAUCUGCGAUUUGUUCCGACAGAGUAGCAGUAACGGUGAGUUAUCCUUUUUUGAUUUGUUUGGCACUUUGGCUGUUAGCCUGUUGUGUGCGGUUGGUACUGGAACAAACGCACGAAUGAAUGCUACUUUUUUUUUUUUUUUUUUUUCCAAUUCCAAUUCAUUGAAGUACAAAAGAUUAUGGGCAUUGACCCCACAAAUUUCCUAAAUAGCAUUAACG
This 465-nucleotide unclassified non-coding RNA is filed under the name Hevea brasiliensis (rubber tree). The record is from RNAcentral. Lineage: Eukaryota; Viridiplantae; Streptophyta; Magnoliopsida; Malpighiales; Euphorbiaceae.